This 877-nucleotide ribosomal RNA is filed under the name uncultured bacterium. RNAcentral's name for it is "bacterial SSU rRNA". It matches the Rfam family "Bacterial small subunit ribosomal RNA", at positions 8 to 932 of the family's 1533-position model. The record is from RNAcentral.
AGAGUUUGAUCCUGGCUCAGGAUGAACGCUGGCGGUGUGGAUAAGGCAUGCAAGUCGAGAGGGUUUAGACCCUCGGCAAACGGGCUAGUAACACGUGGGAAUCUGCCCUAGAGUCGUGAAUAACCUUUCGAAAGGAAGGAUAAUACACGAUGUACUCUCCGGAGUAAAGAUUUAUCGCUCUAGGAGGAGCCCGCGUCCUAUCAGCUUGUUGGUGAGGUAAAGGCUCACCAAGGCUAUGACGGGUAGGGGGUGUGAGAGCAUGGCCCCCAGCAUUGGCACUGAGAUACUGGCCAAACUCCUACGGGAGGCUGCAGUCGAGAAUAUUCCACAAUGGGCGAAAGCCUGAUGGAGCGACACCGCGUGCGGGAUGAAGGCCUUAGGGUCGUAAACCGCUUUUAUUAGGGAUCAAUGUAAUGAGCGUACCUAAUGAAUAAGAGGUUACUAACUCUGUGCCAGCAGUAGCGGUAAUACAGGGACCUCAAGCGUUAUCCGGAUUUAUUGGGCGUAAAGCGUAUGCAGGCGGACAUAUUAGUCGUGGGUUAAAUCUCCGAGCUCAACUCGGAAACAGCUUACGAAACGGUAUGUCUAGAGAAAGUGAGAGAUAACUGGAACUCAUGGUGUAGUAGUGAAAUGCGUUGAUAUCAUGGGGAACACCAAAGGCGAAGGCAGGUUAUUGGCACUUUUCUGACGCUGAGAUACGAAAGCGUGGGUAGCGAAGGGGAUUAGAUACCCCCGUAGUCCACGCCGUAAACGAUGCUUACUCGGCAUAUGGAGUAUCGACCCUCUGUGUGUCUUAGCUAACGCGUUAAGUAAGCCGCCUGGGAAGUACGAGCGCAAGCUUAAAACUCAAGGAAUAGACGGGGAUCCGCACAAGUGG